This 225-nucleotide unclassified non-coding RNA is filed under the name plant metagenome. RNAcentral describes it as "partial contains small subunit ribosomal RNA, internal transcribed spacer 1, and 5.8S ribosomal RNA". The record is from RNAcentral.
UCUCCGUUGGUGAACCAGCGGAGGGAUCAUUACAGGACUCACAAGACUCCUACAACCCUGUGAACUUAACUAUAAGCACGUUGCUUCGGCUGGUGUCUCGGAGGAGGUUCUCCCUCCCCGAGACGCUAAACCCGCCGGCUGCCGACGAUACUCUGUCUCUUUGCGUUGGCAUCUCGAGUACAAUCAACCAAGUUAAAACUUUCAACAACGGAUCUCUUGGUUCUG